RNAcentral lists this long non-coding RNA (10175 nucleotides) under Xyrichtys novacula (pearly razorfish). Lineage: Eukaryota; Metazoa; Chordata; Actinopteri; Labriformes; Labridae. The record is from RNAcentral.
UUGCAAUUGUUGCCAGUGUCACCCCGGUAUAAUCUUUCAGUGUGAUAUACAGCUAAAUUCUGGAGUGCUUUUGUCUUGACGCCAUGCUGGAAAGUUCUGAACCAAAACACACUACUCACGUAUGACAUCAUCACGCAUGGAGAUGUAAGAGGAACCAAUAAGGAGGAGGACAAACAAUUCUUAGGAAUCGAAUCACUGGGAACUGGUUCUUGAAAAAGACAGUUAUGGAUUCUUAUCCCUUUCCACAGAUUUGUUCAAAUCUACGAAUCUCAUAUGAUCAUGUUCAAGUUGUCGUUAAUCCAUCUUACCAUGUAUGCUAAAUGGUCCCUCUGAUUCGGAUCAGUUGGCUCAGUAAGAACCGGUUCUUUCAGCUCCCACAUGGCUCUGGGUUUCAGAGUCGAGUCCUUGGGGAUCAUUUGUGUCCUCAGCUCGGUGCAGAUACUGUCUGCUGCUCCAGUGGCGGCUCAAAACAUGACCAUGACAGGACAUCAGGUUGUGGCGUCCCAUUUCAACAACACCGAAGGACACAUCCACCCAAAAUCUGGGGAGUCUGUUUCACCUUCAUGCAAAGCUGCUCUCUAAGUGUCUAAAAUUGGAUCCUCGUACAUGCUUUUUUUUAACCAGAUUACUCCUGAUCAAACAUUUUAACUCUGAGGAUUAUCUUUCCAUGACUCUGUGGAGCCUGAGCUCAAUAUUAGGUCUCAUUCUUAACCUUUACUUUUCCAAUAAACUCGCUCUGCAAACAGGUGUCUCCUCCAGGUUGUGUGUUCAUGCUGGCGGGAGUUGUUUGGAGAGAGAGGGAGGAAGAGGAAUUGGAAGAGACGAGCGGUCCUCAAUCAUGAUUCCUGAGCUCUAUAUAUGUGCCGUCUCCCUUCAGCCAUCUCAUCAGGGGCUGGUUUACAGCCGGGAUGCAAGGUGAAUGCAAUUAACCGCCUGGUAGGAUAGAAAACCAACAAGCUGGCAGUCAGAUCCAGAAAUAAAAACCAAAUGGAAGAGACAGAAGCGUCUGGCUCCCUCGGCUGAAAACAUAACGCCACAUCUUGAACCGAAUCCCAGUCCACCGUCGGACACACACUUCCCUCGCUGCAAACACUAACAGGUUGCAGAUUUUUCAGUCCACUCACAUAACACCACCUGUCGCCGAGGAGCGCAGAGACAGUGGAGGGAGCGCUGGAGUUUUGUUGUGCACCCAGACUCUGAAUUCAUUUCUGGGAACAAAACAAAGUGAGAGCCGACAGACAAGAACCUCCGGGGUUUGUUGUUUCUGUUCAUUCGCUCACAAACACACCGAAAAAAAAAACAAGUGAGAGAGGAACCUGAAUGAGAGUCUGCAGCACAGGAGUCAUGUGAUGUUCAGAAUGGUACGAUUUGUGAUUUAAACAUCACAUCUCAUGAGGACGAUACCAAAGGACUUCAAACCGAACAUCCUCAAACUGCUGCAGAGAAAAAUCCCAAGAAGACAUAAUGAGGAUUUUUUAAUAAAUGAAAAGGCACGAAGAAAAUGUCGAAACUCCAUGAAAUGAAACGUCUUUAAAAAAGUUAUUUUAAUAAACGACUUUGAGAGAAAAAUGGACGAACACAAAGAAGCGGCGAGGAGAGGAUGAGGAGGAGGAGGAAGAGGAAGAGGAAUGGUACACACAAACAAACACAAUUUCGUUUUGUUGAGAAAGAAUGAGGAACUUUUGAUUCCUGCUCAGAGGAUGAGACUCCAUGGUUACCGCUGAGGGGAUACGAGCUACAGUGGUUACCAUGGUUACAGGCCUGUGGAGCUUGUGGAUCUGCUUCAGUUUGGAGUAAAGUCAUUUGAAAUGAAUGUUUGGCAUCAGAAGAUGGAAGUGUCCGUGAACCGAGGUUUAUUUGGUCUUUACUGCAGCUACAGAGGACACGGGUCAGAUAACUGGGAUGAGAGACGACAUGUUGAAGGUAAAUAAAUUAAAUCUACAUCCAGUUUAAUGUCAGACUGAACUCUUGCUUUUUUUAGAAAGUUGAUUUUUGUGGUCUGUAAUCAAGAUUCAAACAAAAAGCCUCACUCUUUGAAUCUUGAUGGUUUAAAAUAAAAAUGAACCUGUAGUUUUAGUAAUCGAGAUGUAUUCUCUCUGUCUAGUUCCCACCUGGUUAAAAAUACAUCCAGGGAUCCUCCUAAACCCCGGGCCGGUGUGUUCAAAUUGGUAACCAGGCCUCCGAAACAUUCGCUCCUCUGAGGAGCUGAAGGGUUUUUCUUUGAGAGGAUCAUGAAUAGAUGAUCUUAAACCGUUUGGAGGGCAGAGCUCCUUUGUUGCAGAACAUCCUCUAAAAUCUUGAGUGCAUUUAAAAUCAUAAAGGUUAUGAUUACAAACACUGGAAGGGGAGAUAAGGAUACAAAGAGGCGCAUUUCAAAGUGAAUCUCAUUUUUUGGAGUUAAAACAUCACAAGUUUGGAGUUUACGUCUCUGAAGUCGUUACAAACAGACUCUGCGAUAUGAUUUCUUUUAUUAGGAGCGUUAUAGUUUCCAGGAUAAUAAAUGCUUGUAAUGUCUGAGUCAGCUGAAGUUGCAUGCUGGGAAAAAAGGAGAUAAUAAAAUUGCAUGACUCAAAAAACAGUCAGUGAAAUUUCUCUAGACUGACUCUCUACCUUUAUCUCAGGAUGGGAUCACGUCCAAACUGUCACUGUAUUUUUGGUGGACUGCUCCUUUAAGGACGUUUUACAUAAAAAGCAGCUUACGAUGCUCACUGAAGCAACAAUAACAAGUACAAGUCUGCAGAUGGACGGAGGCUGUCAUGGGAGCAGAGUCCUAAUGUGAACCAUGUCUGCAGCCCCGCCCCCUCUGAAAACCUCUGUGGUGAACGUGACCGCUCACCUCGGGUCACCUCUGAAACCAUCGAGUCAGGAAGUGUUUUUGAAGGAAGGCUCUGAAGUAUCGCUCUGAGUUUGACAUCUGUGAGUCUGAUGGAGCCGUGAGAGGGAGGCUGUGAGUAAGAAGAGUUUUAAUGGGUGGUCCUCACGAGCCUCAACCCCCAUUACAACAACACAAACGUGGGUUUAUGAUACACUCUAAAAACACUUAUUGUUAUUAUUAUUAUUUCUUCAACACAAUUCCUGGGUUAUAUGUGUUGAGUUAAAUUUCUGGGUUAUUUUUCAGAUCCAUCCCCAUUUCUUAGGUCAUAUGGAUUCUAUUGAAACCCAAUUUGGUUUUUUUUAAAUGGGUUAAUAAUUAUGGGUUAUUUUUCUGAGAGUAACCCAAUAAUUGGGUCAGAACGUUGGGUUCGAUUGACUCUACGUGGUUUCGAGGCCUAAUGGCAACACCUGGUGACCUUGUGAACUUUGACUUUGAUUUAAUAUACAAUAUGAUAUUUAUAUUGGGCCAGCUCGGGGUAGCUACCCCAAUGUAAACUGGGCGGCUGGGGUAGCUCAGCAGGUAGAGCAUCCAGUUCCUGACCAGGGGGUUGGGGUUCAAAUCUCACAUGAGACACAUCUGUAAGAAGCGAACUACAUCCACCAGUGUGGGUUCUUGGGCAAGACCCUUAAUGCUAUGGCGUACCUCAUAAACAUGAGUGCGUUACUAUUGAAAGCCAAACCGGCACAGACGUCGCCUGGGUUAACAAGGUUUGUGUCACAUGGCAUUGUGUAAGAAAUGGUCCACUGGAACGACAAAGAUUGAAGGCAUUGGACACGAGAUGAGAACAAGCCUCUGUUGGGAUGCUAGUGCUCCAGUAAACCUAAUCAGCGGGUCAAUGAUAUUUAAAUACACAGAUAUGAGUUUUUAAAUGCAUGGACUGAGCAUUGCCAACACAUCAGAUUAAUGCCAAAGUGUCGGAUAUUAAAAAUGACAAAUUCACCAGGUGCUCUCCUGGAAGUAUAGAGCACUGAUCUUGCAAAAAGCUCAGAUCCAAAAUAACAUCUCUAAGACAGAAAGAGAGAGUUACUGCCAAGACGAGUGACUCUAGAUCAUUCCGAGCCUGAAUUCCGAUCACUAUGAGCAACUUGGUAAGAUGGAUCACAGACAACUUGAGCAAAAUUUGAAGUUACCCAUGGAUCUCUGCGGGUAUGAUAUGUUUAGAUCAAAUUGUUUUGCAGACUUGGAUCGUAGGAAGAAGGGAGAGAGAUUAGACCAUCAGACUUUUAACAGGAUUUAACCAAAGUGGUUCUUUUCAUUCAAUUUGUAAAAGUCGUGUUGUUUUGUUUCUCAAGAUUUUGAAGCACUUCCGUGAAUUCUUGGUAUUCUGAUGAUGUCUUUGCAAGUAGUGCGCCGUCCAGACGAGACUGCAGACUGGCAUGCAAAAGUUGGAGUCAUGAAAAGGGGAGCUGAUGACUGAUUCAGGAUUCUGCUCUGGAGGAGGUAAAAGCUCCACCAUGAAGAGGGCAAAGGUCGAUCUGGUUUGGUCACCAGUGCAGCUGCCAUUGUGGUUUUGCAGUCGCCUACCAUACUCUGCAGCCGGCUUUAAUACUGUUUUUAGGUGACCACAACAGCUCAGGUAUAAUCCAAUAUAUUCAAUAUAUCCACCUGACUGUUAUUGAUUAUAAUGCGGUUGCAAAUCUCUCAUGCAUGUUGCGGUCCACGUGUUCGUUCCAGUGGGAGAUUCUUGAGGUCGGAGGCUGGGCGACUGUUUUCCUCUCUGUUCACUGACCUUCACGCUCUCCUCACCUGAACUUUGCUCUAAAAUCAAUAACUAAUUUUCCACCUUUUAGGGGCAGUAAUGGUCUGUAAGUGAAUUACUCACACUGCCAACAAAAAAAGGCUUUGGGAAAUGAUCGUCCAUGAAUAAAAUAUUUAGGAGGGAGAUAAAGAAUCAAGACCAGGUGGUGAUGGGGGUAGAAGAGGCAGUCUAUAAAGAUGCAGGUCCAUCACAUGCAGCGUGCACAGAGUCCGUGGGCUGCAGGCUGAGCUGCACAAAGUGAGUCAGUGUUUUCAGAGAUGCACAGAAUCCACCAGCAGCUUCCCACACAGGGAGAGCGAGGCCAGGACAGGGUGAAAUUAAUCUGAUUGAAGCUCAAAAUAAAGCGCCUCCACAGCCACGUACCAGGUCAGUUAGCAGAAAUAUUUCACUGAAGACCAGAAUGAAAAAAGAGGCUUUCAAUUCUCCAAUUGAUUUCAGCUCAGUGAUUCUUGUCAUGAGAAGUGUUCGGUGAAUUAUGAAUGUCUGCGUUCGAGCUGCAGAGCACGAGAGCUGUCUGGAAAAAAGAGGUGGGAUCAUUGUUGUCAAUGUCAGCUAAGCCAGUGACCCUACACUGGAACAAAGAUGACCCUACACUGAAACAAAGAUGACCUUACACUGAAACAAAGAUGACCUUACACCUAACAUUUUAGGAGAGAAGGUGAACAAGAACAAAAUUCAGUGAGUCGAGUCUGUAAUUCAGUGAGUAAGUAAGCAGGUAAGUCACUCAGUCACUGAAACUGGACUUUAGAAAACCUGGAGUGGUGGUUUUGAAUCAAACUUUUUUAAGUCGGACUGAAACCGGCUGAAGCGUUCUGCUCAUGCUCAUGCACACGCUGAGGGUUGUCUCUCCUAAAUUGACCUGUUGUGAAGCCAUAACCCCCUUAGUUUCUGUUGCUAGGUCCGUCAAGCUUCUUGGAGCUGACAGACUGUCGACACACUACCAUGGCAAGAAGAAGUAUUCCAGCGCCUCUCAGUGACGUUUUUUUGGAGGAAAAGGUGUUGCAAUAUGCAGUGGAGGGUUAUAUUCACAAUAUUAAAAUAAUUAACGAAGGGGAGACUACGACUAUCGAGGCUAAAGCACACCGGUCAAUGGCAAAAACGCAAAAAUCCCAUAAACUCUUUCUCAAAUGGAACGAACAUAGCCUAAUGGACCAGUCAUGUUCUUGCACUGCCGUGUAAGUUCUCUUAGCCUACUAUUGUUAAAAUAUAUUCAUCUGUGUCCACAUCCUCCUAAAGACUAUGAGAGCGCUAGUACAGCCAAUAAACCUACAGGACUGAUAAGCUAGCUUGCGUCAUUAUAAGACUAAAAAAUGUUUUGCAGCUCCACACAUCGAUUGUAAAGGUGGCACGAAUGUAAGGUGUCAAGCUACUAACAGUCUAUGGCGUCACAUUCUUACAUCCAUGUUCGGCACUUUUACAGCAAGUACAGAGUUCGGAUAUUCAGGAGUAGACUUCCUGUUCACAAAAUGCUCCAUGGAAGAUAAAAACAAAAUAAGUUUAAAUUGUCUGUUGGGACGAUUAUGUUAAACUUCGAUGUAAACUGACAAAACAACAUUAGCGAGCUGUGGCGUUAGCCUAGCUUAGCCUUACAUUAGAGCAGACGUAUUAAUGCUUGUUUAUUUUCGUGACAUUUAGCAGGGAGUGGGGCUUUUCACGUUGUUUUAUCCACAGUAGGAAACGCUCCUUCUGUGUUUUCAGCUUUGAAAAGGGAAAGAAAAUGACUCUUUAAGCCAAACUCUCGGGGUAUCAAGUGUCCAACUUCUGUGUACUGUGGGCACAUCACUUCACCAUUUCACUAGUGGUCUGCUGCUUGUCGGACCUUGCUUACAUAAUACAUACGAUUACAUAAUUGCUAGGCUGUGUGAUUGGACAGUGACCAUUUGGGGGCGUGGUUUUAUGAAAGUUCAAUUAAGCCUACCUUUAUUAACAGACAGUAGCAGCGCCUUCUUCUCUUCGGACAGUUGUUUCCUUUCACCCCACAUCUGCUGCUGCUGUUGUUGUGGGGUCAGUUUUUAGACGCCAAACUAUGAAAAGACCAAACUUUUAAGUGGGUCUCCAGAGGAUAAACGCCAGACAGGCGCCAGAAUUUGUGCCUGCUUUCGAAAAAAGUGGGCGACCUGCACUUCAGAGUCCAAUUCGAAAGCUAUGAAUCUCAAACAGGCUUGGAGGGAAAUCUCACUCUGCACAACUCAGAUACCUUAAGCAGACACACACACACACACGCACAAACACAAACACACACAUCGGCAUACAUCAGGAUCACAGGCCGUGGUGAAACAGCUUCUCUAAGUGAUUCCACUGAAGCCUGCAGGUGUUAAGACUGUGUUACUGUCACACCUCAAUAACCAGCUGCCCUUAAAGGAUGCAUCUCCUCCAACCCCGUCAUUACAGCGGAGCAAGUUUCUGCCAGUCAGCUGUGACAGAGAGACGGUGUUAAGAAGAGCAAUGUCUCCUGCUGCUUCACAUCUACCUUUAUUUUUAGCAGCUGAUUUAGACUCUGUGACCGUCAGUGGCGGCUGCUGGUCUUUCAAGGAGGGGAAGCUCAUUUUUCUGGCCUACAUCAUAAUUGUAUUUGUUUAUUAGUAUGUAACAGAACAGAGUCGCCAAACACAACGGCAGUCGUUUUUAAUAAAGACAGAAGUCGCUGAGGAUCGGUAAAGUCUCCGGAGCAGUUAAGAACAACGGAAUGAAUGACUUGGAAAAUGCUCUGGUAGGUGUUUUAUUCUUCAAGAUCGCUGAUUCGCUUGUUUAGCUGUCAAUCAAAAAAGGAUUUCGCCUCAGACAGCUCAUCCAAUCAUGGAUGCAGAAGCUUGCAGUCCGGGAGAAAGUCGGGACCGCCCUCUCGCCAUAGAACUCCAGUGAAGCUUAGCUUCCAUUGGGCGGGACAAAGCCCAGCAUUUAUCCAAUGAGCAUCUAGUUUCGCUGCUGGAACAACCCACUUUUAGCUUCCACAUUGAAGUCAGCAGAAGCCCAGCGUCAGGCUGUUUAAAGCGCUGAGGCGCUGCGAGGAUGAAUGAGAACGAAGUUAUGCCGGUUACCUGUGAUUAUCAGCUUCUUAUCACAGUGUCUGAACAAAAGAUGAAGGCUUUCUAGUGCGUAUUUAGUUAAUGAAAUGUACACACAGCAGUACGUAUUUCACCACUUUUUCUUUUUUUGGGGGGGUGACAUUUUAAGGGAAGCCGAGCUUCCCUUGCAGUCUUAGAGCAAUCGCCACUGGUGACCGUCCAGACCAAAGAAUGAUAACAGAGAGACUCACAGUUACAUGAAUAGAUUCAAAUCCUGUCAUGCAAAGGGACACAAGAAAAGCAGUUUUUUAAUGGAAACGCUCUCUAAGCUAUGGUGGCCUUCAAGGACAAAAGACUCCUUUAACCCUUACCCUAGUGGGGUCAAACUGACCUCAAGUCAGUGUGGACUGAGAUUACCCAUGACUCCUGAUGUUUUCCUGCCGGGGUCAAAUUCACCCUGUCAGUAUGGAUUGAGAAUCAUAAACCCUCACGCUUCCCUAGCAGGGUCAAAAAUAACCCCAUGGUGUAGAUAUAAACUUUAACUAUUUUAAACCCCUGACUCAUGAUGUUCUGGGCUGAAUAGCCUAGUCACCUAUACAUCAGCUCAAUCCCCAACCCACCUGACAGAGAGUGUAUCAAGUACCUAAAAGGGGAGCUCAAGAUCACCUUAAGGGUCGGUCAAGGUCGCCAGUUGAUGACUUUGUUAUUUUAUGGAGUCCUGGACAGAAAAGUUUGGGAACCUGUGUUCUUGUUAGAACUUUUCUCAGCUGCAUGUCUACGUGGAUUAGGAGAGAAGUUCAUACAUGAAGGUGCAAUUUGAACUGAGGUAGUGAAAAAAUACAACAGAAAUUAUUGACAUUAUGUGCAAUAAUACAAUCGAUUUUAAGAGGUAGGUUCAUAUAAAGUGAAACCCAGCGUUGUUUACAUGCUAUUUUGUGAUGCACAAGACUUUAAAACCAUACUGCACAUGUUAAAGAAAAGUCAUUCUGUAUUUCUAUUAUCUCUAAUAGGCUAACUCAGAGUAACUGGAAAAGUCUGUGGUGGCUGAAGCUGCUCGGGAAACUCAGAGGAAUAAUUUACUUUAUCUAUUUUUAUCAUCUUUCCUCUUAAAACUCAGCCCAGGAUCGAUGAUCUGGAGUGUUCUGCGUAAGUGUGUCAUCUCCAACACUUUGGUUUAUUGAAUUAUCUUCUCCUCUGUGCAUCAGUGAGCAAUAAGGGAUGAAUCUGAAGCCUUCAGUGUACCUGCCUCCUCCCUGCGAACAUUUACAGAUGAGCAGCCUAUUGGGGAGAAUCCAAGCAGCACAAAAUCACUUAAAAACUCAUCCACAACUCGGCCCAUAAUCUCUGCAGUGAGUCUGACAAUUAAAAAUCGUUAUCCAUUUACCACUUCAGCAGCUCGCUGCACAAACAGGAACUGAUGGCGAGAGGCAUCUGAAAAACAAAGCGGUAAUGAGGAGGUAAUUCUGUUAUUCACGAGUACAUUGAGAUGCAUUGUUGAUGUGAUGUCACUGUGUGGUUUUACUCCUCCUCCUCCUGUUUCCCGGCAGCAGUGAUUAAGUCAGGUUAAUGAAUGCCACAGUGACUGUUCACCUCCUUCUCCUGCACAGGAACAAAACAAGUGCUUACAUGAGAGCUGCAGCUCUGCUGAGAUUCACGAACACGGGUCUACCAAAUGACUUUGAAGGAAGGUGUGAGGAAUUUAAGGUGUGACUAAAAUUUGGAAUCUCUGACCAAUCAUGUUCCAGCAAACAUCGGAGUCUUCAAGAUAAACAGGAGUUUUUAAUGCCUGAGAUGUUGGGGUGUUGAAAACCAGCAGGGUGACAUCAGAGACUAUAUAGAAUGGACGCCAUCUGCCUCCUCGCUGGGUGACGCCACAACGAGAACAGCACCCUCUGGUGACGGGCUGCAGUAUAGGCCUCCUCCAGCAAUCCCUAUGGAGCUGUGGACAAACAUUUUUAAAAGUUAUUAGGGGGUUCAUGUUUUCUAUGAUUGACACAGACACGAUCACCGCUGAUUGCCACUGAUCGUUCCCAUUCAAGUUAAUGUGACAAUUUCCACCAGCUUCUUCCAGCCCCCUGCAGUUCUGGGGCUUCGCAGCCGAUCGCCUGGGUUCUGUGUUUUUCCGGACGCCGCAGCAUGGCGCCUAAUUUCAGCACAGAUUAACCCGUUUUGGAAAGGAAACAAAAUAAAACAUCUGUUUCUUUUCAAAAUAAAAGACCCCGUGUUUCAGGUGGAUGAUAUUUCACACCAUGCAAACGUGGGCGGGGACAAAAAGGUCACAGGUUUUCCAACACCAUGGAUGAGAAGAUGCUGAUUCUGGACGUCCAAAAUCUUGAAAUAAUCUUUGACCCGUCUCAUCCCUUAUACAACUCGUUAUCGGGCGAUUGCAUGUUAAUUUGUGGGUUCGUGUGAGUCAUCACGAUUCCCACUGUCUGAAAUUCGCCAUCAAAUUGGAUUCACAAACGCAUCCAGUAGGAAUUGGCGGACAGCGAUAGUUGCUGUUGAAAUUCGACAUGCACAUGCCGAGAUCUCAAAG